Molecule: long non-coding RNA, 710 nt
Organism: Anguilla rostrata (American eel)
Lineage: Eukaryota; Metazoa; Chordata; Actinopteri; Anguilliformes; Anguillidae
Exons: 2
Source: RefSeq, a predicted model, not a curated record
GGCGAAAACACGCCGGUUUCUGGAUAAUUUGUAGCUUGGUGCAUGUUGCCUUUGCGGGAUAACACCUGCCCAGUUUAUCGCGAAUUUUUGGGGAAAGGGUCCCUAUACUAUACUGUAAACAUGACUAUCGCUGGAGCUCCUAGGUGGGACGAGCGGGUUUGCAUAGUGUUGUACAUUAAUUUGGUUUUCUGCAAGUGCUGACGCUUCGACCCAGGGUGGACUUGCGCCGGCUACCCUCGCGAAUGUGGUUAUUCUAAAAAUGAACGUGGUCCCUGCACUUCACUGUGUUAUGUGACUGCCUUUACAGCUGUAUGUUAUUUGUGCAUAAUUACGCUAAUCCUAAUUUGAGAAAUAGCCCACCUUAUCUAUUAUUAGCGUAUCUUUGUGUGUGUUUGUGUUCUUUCACCAGAUUUUACCCGCAUUCGCAAAAUGUUCGCCGGCAUGUUGCCUUUGACAAUUGCUGUGUCCCCGCCUCUUUCCUCUGGAUUUAACCCUUACGGACCUGUGUGCAGCAGGGUGGCGUGUGCUUGGGGAGAAAGACAUCGGCCUUUUGGGGAGAGCUGUCACCUGCUUGUGCCAAAGCUGUCCAUUUGUACAACUUCGCCCUUGUGAAGGGAUGGGGCAGACGGGGAUAGUUGGGGUUGGCUGUUCUGGGACGGUAGGGAAAAGGGUCUGUACAUGUCCUACAAAAUAAAUAUUAAAAAAGGAAA